This 513-nucleotide ribosomal RNA is filed under the name uncultured bacterium. Its description in RNAcentral is "partial 16S ribosomal RNA". It matches the Rfam family "Bacterial small subunit ribosomal RNA", at positions 28 to 523 of the family's 1533-position model. The record is from RNAcentral.
GAUGAACGCUGGCGGCAUGCCUAAUACAUGCAAGUCGAGCGAACAGAUGAAGUGCUUGCACUUCUGACGUUAGCGGCGAACGGGUGAGUAACACGUAGGGAAUCUACCUAUAAGCGGGGGAUAACAUUCGGAAACGGGUGCUAAUACCGCAUAAUAUCUUCUUCCGCAUGGAAGAAGAUUGAAAGACGGCUCUGCUGUCACUUAUAGAUGACCUUGCGGUGCAUUAGUUAGUUGGUGGGGUAACGGCCUACCAAGACGAUGAUGCAUAGCCGACCUGAGAGGGUGAUCGGCCACAUUGGGACUGAGACACGGCCCAAACUCCUACGGGAGGCAGCAGUAGGGAAUCUUCCGCAAUGGGCGAAAGCCUGACGGAGCAAUGCCGCGUGUGUGAAGAAGGCCUUCGGGUCGUAAAACUCUGUUAUAAGAGAAGAACAAAUUGUAGAGUAACUGCUACAGUCUUGACGGUAUCUUAUCAGAAAGCCACGGCUAACUACGUGCCAGCCGCCGCGGUAA